RNAcentral lists this long non-coding RNA (704 nucleotides) under Nicotiana benthamiana. Its description in RNAcentral is "long non-coding RNA (NBEN_LNC016076)". Lineage: Eukaryota; Viridiplantae; Streptophyta; Magnoliopsida; Solanales; Solanaceae. The record is from RNAcentral.
AAAAACCGGGACUGUCCCAAGUUAAACCUACGAGCCCUCCUAUUUCCUAUAGAAGUGGUUUUAUUUCUAUGUCAGUGAAACGGAACACCACUCUUUCAUUAUCCCAGAACAGAGUAGGAGCCUCGAUCAAUUUGUUAUUUGGUUCAAUAUAUAGCAGGGAUGGCAAGUUGCAUAGGUACUUUUUCGCAUGCUUCUUGUCACUUGAGGAGAGAUCUUCCCACCAAUCUAGCAACAAUAGAGGGAUAUUUCUAACCAUACUCAAUCUGGGGACCUCAUGCCUCAUUUUCUGCAAAACAAAGGAUUAUGCCUUACCCCCUCCGGAUUCGACUAUUUAUACAUUUAUGAUUAGCAUAUAAGCAUUUAGUUCUCCAAAUUAAUGCACAGAACGUGAUUGCACCCGUUGGGAUUAUGGAUAACCCGAUGGACUUUGGAUAAGGCUUAUCUUACAGGAUCAUUAUGUGGACAACAUAAUUGAUCCGACUAGGUUUGACCAUGAUGCAUGUACAAUUUAAAUGGAGUAAGGUUUCUAUGAGGUUUAGACUGGUACCCUCAAGCAGAAAACUUGAGGGGGAAGGCACGGAAUGUUGACUGCACCUUCGAUCGACUGGUAUUACCACACAUAAGUCUUUCCAAAUUUAAGGUAAGUAAAUAGGAAGAGCGCAAUCACUCAUUAAAGCGUUGCUAUAGGAUUUGAUUCGCAUGAG